RNAcentral lists this long non-coding RNA (255 nucleotides) under Oryza sativa Indica Group (long-grained rice). Its description in RNAcentral is "lncRNA OsZS97_01G015800". The record is from RNAcentral. Lineage: Eukaryota; Viridiplantae; Streptophyta; Magnoliopsida; Poales; Poaceae.
CCCCUCCCCAAAAACCCAAAAUCGCGCGCCCCUCCCUGCUCUUUCAAUCUUUUGCAUCAGUCUGCGCCGCCCCCUCUCCUUCGCAGCCACCGCCGCCCGCAUAGCCGCCUCCGCUCCGAGCAAAGCAGGGGAGGGGCGUCGUCGAUCUGCUGCAUCCCGAAACAUCAACAGGGCAUCAGGUGGGCCAACCUCACCGCGGACGACAACCUCAUUGCCCCCCUCACCAAUCUCUUGGCAAUAGGUGAGCCAUUCUAG